Molecule: ribosomal RNA, 403 nt
Filed under: uncultured Anaerofilum sp.
Lineage: Bacteria; Bacillati; Bacillota; Clostridia; Eubacteriales; Oscillospiraceae
Description: bacterial SSU rRNA
Rfam family: Bacterial small subunit ribosomal RNA
Source: RNAcentral
GGGGGAUAUUGCACAAUGGAGGAAACUCUGAUGCAGCGACGCCGCGUGAGGGAAGAAGGUUUUCGGAUUGUAAACCUCUGUCUUCGGGGACGAAACAAAUGACGGUACUCGAGGAGGAAGCCACGGCUAACUACGUGCCAGCAGCCGCGGUAAUACGUAGGUGGCAAGCGUUGUCCGGAAUUACUGGGUGUAAAGGGAGCGCAGGCGGAACUGCAAGUUGGGUGUUUAAUCUACGGGCUCAACCCGUAUCAGCAUUCAAAACUGUGGUUCUUGAGUAAUGCAGAGGUAGGCGGAAUUCCCGGUGUAGCGGUGAAAUGCGUAGAUAUUGGGAGGAACACCAGUGGCGAAGGCGACUUUCUGGACUGUGUCUGACACUGAGGCGCGAAAGCCAGGGGAGCGAACG